UACGUAGGGGGCCAGCGUUGCUCGGAAUUACUGGGCGUAAAGGGUUCGUAGGUGGUGCGGCAAGUUGGAAGUGAAAUCUCUGGGCUUAACCCAGAGGCUGCUUUCAAAACUGCCGCGCUCGAGUGCGAGAGAGGUCAGUGGAAUUGCAGGUGUAGCGGUGAAAUGCGUAGAUAUCUGCAGGAACACCAAUGGCGAAGGCAGCUCGCUGGGACGGUACUGACGCUGAGACGCGAAAGCGUGGGGAGCAAACAGG
This 253-nucleotide ribosomal RNA is filed under the name uncultured prokaryote. RNAcentral describes it as "partial 16S ribosomal RNA". It matches the Rfam family "Bacterial small subunit ribosomal RNA", at positions 524 to 776 of the family's 1533-position model. The record is from RNAcentral.